RNAcentral lists this ribosomal RNA (1372 nucleotides) under metagenome. RNAcentral describes it as "bacterial LSU rRNA". It matches the Rfam family "Bacterial large subunit ribosomal RNA", at positions 1566 to 2925 of the family's 2925-position model. The record is from RNAcentral.
UUGACGAGGAACCACGGUUCCGAAGUGAUUGAUACCAAGCUUCCAGGAAAAGCCACUAAGCUUCAGUCUAGAGUUGACCGUACCGCAAACCGACACAGGUGGGCAGGAUGAAAAUUCUAAGGCGCUUGAGAGAACUCAGGAGAAGGAACUCGGCAAAUUAACACCGUAACUUCGGGAGAAGGUGUGCCCCGGUAGCGUGUAGAGACUUGCUCUCGAGGCGCGAUGGGGUUGCAGUGAAAUGGUGGCUGCGACUGUUUAAUAAAAACACAGCACUCUGCAAACACGAAAGUGGACGUAUAGGGUGUGACGCCUGCCCGGUGCCGGAAGGUUAAGUGAUGGGGUGCAAGCUCUUGAUCGAAGCCCCGGUAAACGGCGGCCGUAACAAUAACGGUCCUAAGGUAGCGAAAUUCCUUGUCGGGUAAGUUCCGACCUGCACGAAUGGCGUAACGAUGGCCACACUGUCUCCUCCUGGGACUCAGCGAAGUUGAAAUGUUUGUGAAGAUGCAAUCUACCCGCGGCUAGACGGAAAGACCCCAUGAACCUUUACUGUAGCUUUGCAUUGGACUUUGAACCGGUUUGUGUAGGAUAGGUGGGAGACUGUGAAGCCGGGACGCUAGUUUCGGUGGAGUCAACCUUGAAAUACCACCCUGAUUUGUUUGAGGUUCUAACCUUGGUCCGUGAAUCCGGAUCGGGGACCGUGCAUGGUAGGCAGUUUGACUGGGGCGGUCUCCUCCCAAAAGGUAACGGAGGAGUACGAAGGUACGCUUAGGGCGGUCGGACAUCGCCCACAAAGUGCAAUGGCAAAAGCGUGCUUGACUGCGAGACCCACAAGUCGAGCAGGUACGAAAGUAGGUCAUAGUGAUCCGGUGGUUCUGUAUGGAAGGGCCAUCGCUCAACGGAUAAAAGGUAUUCUGGGGAUAACAGGCUAAUUCCUCCCAAGAGUUCAUAUCGACGGGGGAGUUUGGCACCUCGAUGUCGGCUCAUCACAUCCUGGGGCUGUAGUCGGUCCCAAGGGUAUGGCUGUUCGCCAUUUAAAGUGGUACGCGAGCUGGGUUUAAAACGUCGUGAGACAGUUUGGUCCCUAUCUGCCGUGGGCGCUGGAAAUUUGAAGGGGGCUGCUCCUAGUACGAGAGGACCGGAGUGGACGAACCUCUGGUGUACCGGUUAUGACGCCAGUCGUAUCGCCUGGUAGCUAAGUUCGGAAGAGAUAAACGCUGAAAGCAUCUAAGCGUGAAACUCGCCUUAAGAUAAGAUUUCCCGGAGUCUUGAACUCCCUGAAGGGUCGUCGAAGACCACGACGUUGAUAGGUCAGGUGUGGAAGCGCAGCAAUGCGUUAAGCUAACUGAUACUAAUUGCCCGUGCGGCUUGGUAA